This is a non-coding RNA of Stegodyphus mimosarum, 73 nucleotides long. The record is from Rfam. Lineage: Eukaryota; Metazoa; Arthropoda; Arachnida; Araneae; Eresidae.
GCUUUUGUGGUGUAGUGGUCAGCAAGCUGGCCGCGUAUUCCAGAGGUCCGUGGUUCGGGUCCCGGCGAAGGCG